RNAcentral lists this ribosomal RNA (328 nucleotides) under uncultured eukaryote. RNAcentral describes it as "partial 18S ribosomal RNA". It matches the Rfam family "Eukaryotic small subunit ribosomal RNA", at positions 1470 to 1796 of the family's 1831-position model. The record is from RNAcentral.
CCCUUAGAUGUCCUGGGCCGCACGCGCGCUACACUGAUGCAUGCAACGAGUUUAUAACCUUGGCCUGAAAGGUCUGGGUAAUCUUUUGAACGUGCAUCGUGAUAGGGAUAGAUUAUUGCAAUUGUUAAUCUUGAACGAGGAAUUCCUAGUAAACGCGAGUCAUCAGCUCGCAUUGAUUACGUCCCUGCCCUUUGUACACACCGCCCGUCGCACCUACCGAUUGAAUGGUUCGGUGAAGAUCUCGGACUUCGAUAUUUAUUCUUUAUUGAGUUUAUAUUGUGGGAAGUUAUCUAAACCUCAUCAUUUAGAGGAAGGUGAAGCCGUAACA